CGAGGAGGAGCAUGGCGGCCGUCCUCAGUGCAUUUCCACCGCACAGGCGCGGGAGUAGAGGCGUGCAGAGGGUAAAACGGGAAGCUUCUUUAGGCCCUUGUCCUCUGUCGUCUACAUCAGACCUGCCUCGUCCCAUCCAAGCCGAUCACCUUCUGAGAGGACCUGGCCCCCGAGCUCAGGAGCACCCCAGCUCUCAGGACACAGCCCCUCGUGGUGGGACAGCGCCUGCACCUGCAGCCCUGUAGCCCCUGCACAAGGAAUUUGUUGAGGGAAUUUGUAUUUUCUGCUGCUUUCUCCUUGAACCUAUUUGCAUUUUAAAUAAUU
Molecule: long non-coding RNA, 324 nt
Filed under: Homo sapiens (human)
Lineage: Eukaryota; Metazoa; Chordata; Mammalia; Primates; Hominidae
Description: non-protein coding lnc-NDUFS6-8:1
Source: RNAcentral